CCUACGGGUGGCAGCAGUAGGGAAUCUUCCACAAUGGGCGAAAGCCUGAUGGAGCAACGCCGCGUGGGUGAAGAAGGUCUUCGGAUCGUAAAACCCUGUUGUUAGAGAAGAAAGUGCGUGAGAGUAACUGUUCACGUUUCGACGGUAUCUAACCAGAAAGCCACGGCUAACUACGUGCCAGCAGCCGCGGUAAUACGUAGGUGGCAAGCGUUAUCCGGAUUUAUUGGGCGUAAGGGGAACGCAGGCGGUCUUUUAAGUCUGAUGUGAAAGCCUUCGGCUUAACCGGAGUAGUGCAUUGGAAGCUGGGAGACUGGAGUGCAGAAGAGGAGAGUGGAACUCAAGGUGGAGUGGUGAAGUGCGGAGAUAUAUGGAAGCACAGCAGUGGCGAAAGCGGCUCUCGGGUCUGUAACUGACGCUGAGGUUCGAAAGCGUGGGUAGCAAACAGGAUUAGAUACCCGGGGAGUC
Molecule: ribosomal RNA, 465 nt
Filed under: uncultured bacterium
Lineage: Bacteria
Description: partial 16S ribosomal RNA
Rfam family: Bacterial small subunit ribosomal RNA
Source: RNAcentral